RNAcentral lists this long non-coding RNA (1225 nucleotides) under Mus musculus (house mouse). RNAcentral's name for it is "predicted gene, 56542". The record is from RNAcentral. Lineage: Eukaryota; Metazoa; Chordata; Mammalia; Rodentia; Muridae.
AGCUCAGAUAGCCACCAGAGUCACUCCAGGAGGAACUGUUCUGUGAGUAACCCAGGGAAAGGGGGAAACGAUGUCAAAAGAGGGUGGCUCACCAUCCUGAUUAGUUCAAAAUCUUUUCCUGGGUCAUUGGACUUUAAGAACUAAACCUAGAAGGGAAUCUGUGGCCAACUGGACAUCUGGUCAACCUCCCUAUGUGUUAGAAAUGCUGAGACUAGAUUGAAAUCCUGGUGUACCUGAGCUCAAUGCCCUUGCUCCCCUGCUAGGCAACUGUGCUCAAGCCCCUCCAGCUUCCACACAGCUAGCUCAGGGAAGAGUUUGCUGAAUCUAGAUCUUCCAGUGUUCCAGGUGGAUGUAGUUGGUAUGCUGGAGGUUGGGAGGGGGGUGUUCUUAAGGCCACAGAAAAGUGUGUGGUAUUGGGGUUGGGUUUCAGAAGAUAUUUAGGGACAGGAGAGUCUGGAAAGCCAGGUGUGUUUAACAUAUCCUCUCUCCCACGAAGUAAAACUGGACAGAGCUACUGUUGUGAUUGUGUCCAAAACCAGCAAAGGACAGUUCAAGUGUCAAAUGUGGCUCACUCUCCAAAUGAAGAAUUCAAGAUAUAGAAUAUCUUGGCAUUGAAAUAUACCAGCACAGAGGUUAUCAUUUGGGAAUAGAAGUUAAGUAUACAUGCAUGAAUCAUUGAGCCAUGUCACUGAAUGUGGUGAUCCAAGAUUGUCAUCCCUGCUAUGCAGGAGACUAAAACAGGAAACCAUCUUCAGUGCCUCCUGGUGCUGAAGAGUUAGUUCCCUAGACAAUUGAGUGAGACGGUAUCUCAAAACAAGUGGGAAGCCAGGUGGGUCUUCUAUUAAACCCAUUUCCCUGUAUUCUCAUACUGUGCUGGCAAAUGUAUCAUUAAAGACAAGGGUACAAGGGCAGGCUCACAGGUACAAGAGAUGGCUUAGUUGUCAAAAACACCAGUUGUUCUUGCAGAGGAUCUGGGUUCUGUUCCUAGCACCCAUACAAGGUAGCCCAACUGUAACUCUAGUUCUGGGUGAUACAACACCCUUUUGCCUCUUACAUGCACAUAAGCUCAUGUAGGUACAUGCGUAUGCACACAUACAGACACACACACAUGUAAAAGUAAGUAAAUUAUUUAAGUGAGGAAAUAGCUGGGGAUACUAGAGGUGAAGCUCAGCAGCAUUUGCAUAAGAUGCACGAGGUUCAGAGCUCAUUUCCUAGUGCAAGAGGA